Molecule: ribosomal RNA, 628 nt
Filed under: bacterium enrichment culture clone PW32.3B
Lineage: Bacteria
Description: bacterial SSU rRNA
Rfam family: Bacterial small subunit ribosomal RNA
Source: RNAcentral
UGGGGAGUACGGUCGCAAGACUGAAACUCAAAGGAAUUGACGGGGACCCGCACAAGCAGCGGAGCAUGUGGUUUAAUUCGAAGCAACGCGAAGAACCUUACCAGGACUUGACAUCCCCUUGACAGCACCUUAACCGGAGCCUUCCCUUCGGGGACAAAGGAGACAGGUGGUGCAUGGUUGUCGUCAGCUCGUGUCGUGAGAUGUUGGGUUAAGUCCCGCAACGAGCGCAACCCUUGCCUUUAGUUGCCAUCAGUAAGGCUGGGCACUCUAGAGGGACUGCCGGUGACAAACCGGAGGAAGGUGGGGAUGACGUCAAAUCAUCAUGCCCCUUAUGUUCUGGGCUACACACGUGCUACAAUGGCUGGUACAACGGGCAGCGAAGGAGUAAUCCGGAGCGAAUCCUACAAAGCCAGUCCUAGUUCGGAUUGUGGGCUGCAACUCGCCCACAUGAAGCCGGAGUUGCUAGUAAUCGUGAAUCAGAAUGUCGCGGUGAAUGCGUUCCCGGGUCUUGUACACACCGCCCGUCACACCAUGGGAGCUCAGGGCACCCGAAGUCAGCACUAGGCGCAAGCUGAAGCUGCCGAAGGUGAAAUGAGUGACUGGGGUGAAGUCGUAACAAGGUAACCGU